RNAcentral lists this ribosomal RNA (119 nucleotides) under Triticum aestivum (bread wheat). Lineage: Eukaryota; Viridiplantae; Streptophyta; Magnoliopsida; Poales; Poaceae. The record is from RNAcentral.
GGAUGCGAUCAUAGCAGCACUAAAGCACCGGAUCCCAUCAGAACUCCGAAGUUAAGCGUGCUUGAGUGAGAGUAGUACUAGGAUGGGUGACCUCCUGGGAAGUCCUCGUGUUGCGUUCC